RNAcentral lists this long non-coding RNA (382 nucleotides) under Capra hircus (goat). RNAcentral's name for it is "lncRNA (ENSCHIG00010005496.1)". The record is from RNAcentral. Lineage: Eukaryota; Metazoa; Chordata; Mammalia; Artiodactyla; Bovidae.
GGUACCUACAAGGAGGGUGUCUCACCGAACGGUAGCUAAGACCUCACCACAACCGCGCGGGAGCGAGGAGUCGCGGCCAAAGGCGCCCGCCCGAGCCUCCGCUCUGGGCCGGACCCCAGCCCGAGCGGCCGAAAGAAGCCCCCCGCCCGGAUCGCAGCUGCCGCUGAAAUUCGCUGUGGCCGCUGCUUCUUCCCGCUUUAAUCCCAGACCUCCAGUCAUUGGGCAGCUCCUCAGAGGCAAGAAGUCAACACCAUGGCAACCCGACAAGCCUAUCAAAUCACCGGCUGGUGUGACAGCGGCAACACUGCAGGCAGGAGUGGGUUGGGCAGAAGAGCAGAGUGGCCGCCACGCUCAGUUCUAUCACUUGCUUGGGCAAAAUUAA